Molecule: long non-coding RNA, 231 nt
Filed under: Fukomys damarensis (Damara mole-rat)
Lineage: Eukaryota; Metazoa; Chordata; Mammalia; Rodentia; Bathyergidae
Description: lncRNA (ENSFDAG00000023405.1)
Source: RNAcentral
AGCCUGGGAGGAAAUACAGAAAUGAACAAUCAAGUGCAAUAAAAAUAAUACAGAUGUUAAUAAGUACCAAAUUACAAGCAAGCCAGAGACAUCAAUCUGGGCUUCCGACAAACUACCAGCUGCUGCCCCAGAAAGAGAACUCAAAGAAGAAGCAGGUUAGGCAGAGGCCUGUUGCUGAAGGCUACCGGAAUCUCAGGUGAUCCUCCCCGAUCUACACUGGGGAGAAGACGC